GAUGAACGCUGGCGGCGUGCCUAAUACAUGCCAGUCGAGCGAACAGAUGAGGAGCUUGCUCCUCUGACGUUAGCGGCGGACGGGUGAGUAACACGUGUAUAACCUACCUAUAAGACUGGGAUAACUUCGGGAAACCGGAGCUAAUACCGGAUAAUAUAUUGAACCGCAUGGUUCAAUAGUGAAAGACGGUUUUGCUGUCACUUAUAGAUGGAUCCGCGCCGCAUUAGCUAGUUGGUAAGGUAACGGCUUACCAAGGCAACGAUGCGUAGCCGACCUGAGAGGGUGAUCGGCCACACUGGAACUGAGACACGGUCCAGACUCCUACGGGAGGCAGCAGUAGGGAAUCUUCCGCAAUGGGCGAAAGCCUGACGGAGCAACGCCGCGUGAGUGAUGAAGGUCUUCGGAUCGUAAAACUCUGUUAUUAGGGAAGAACAAAUGUGUAAGUAACUAUGCACGUCUUGACGGUACCUAAUCAGAAAGCCACGGCUAACUACGUG
RNAcentral lists this ribosomal RNA (497 nucleotides) under uncultured bacterium. RNAcentral describes it as "partial 16S ribosomal RNA". It matches the Rfam family "Bacterial small subunit ribosomal RNA", at positions 28 to 507 of the family's 1533-position model. The record is from RNAcentral.